CUCUCAGAAUGUUCCAUCUCUUCAUGGAGUCGAGCUGAAUGUUCUCACAGACGAGAUGUUGGAGUCAUCUGCUCUGACAGUAAAGCUCAUCUGGAGAACUGCAGCUCUUCACAAACUCUCAACUGCAGCUCCACACAACAGCUGUCAGUAAAGAACUUUGGUCGUGGGGUCCAUCAGGCUGGUGGGUUCUGGGGGAGACUGUGCAGGGAGGCUGGAGGUUUU
This is a long non-coding RNA of Cyprinus carpio (common carp), 222 nucleotides long. RefSeq lists it as uncharacterized. The record is from RefSeq and is a predicted model, not a curated record. The transcript is spliced from 3 exons. NCBI's taxonomy places the organism in Eukaryota, Metazoa, Chordata, Actinopteri, Cypriniformes, Cyprinidae.